UCCUACGGGAGGCAGCAGUGGGGAAUUUUGGACAAUGGGCGAAAGCCUGAUCCAGCAAUGCCGCGUGUGUGAAGAAGGCCUUCGGGUUGUAAAGCACUUUUGUCCGGAAAGAAAUGGCUCUGGUUAAUACCUGGGGUCGAUGACGGUACCGGAAGAAUAAGGACCGGCUAACUACGUGCCAGCAGCCGUGGUAAUACGUAGGGUCCAAGCGUUAAUCGGAAUUACUGGGCGUAAAGCGUGCGCAGGCGGUUGUGCAAGACCGAUGUGAAAUCCCCGAGCUUAACUUGGGAAUUGCAUUGGUGACUGCACGGCUAGAGUGUGUCAGAGGGGGGUAGAAUUCCACGUGUAGCAGUGAAAUGCGUAGAGAUGUGGAGGAAUACCGAUGGCGAAGGCAGCCCCCUGGGAUAACACUGACGCUCAUGCACGAAAGCGUGGGGAGCAAACAGGAUUAGAUACCCUGGUAGUCCACGCCCUAAACGAUGUCAACUAGUUGUUGGGGAUUCAUUUCCUUAGUAACGUAGCUAACGCGUGAAGUUGACCGCCUGGGGAGUACGGUCGCAAGAUUAAAACUCAAGAAAUU
Molecule: ribosomal RNA, 580 nt
Filed under: uncultured Ralstonia sp.
Lineage: Bacteria; Pseudomonadati; Pseudomonadota; Betaproteobacteria; Burkholderiales; Burkholderiaceae
Description: bacterial SSU rRNA
Rfam family: Bacterial small subunit ribosomal RNA
Source: RNAcentral